This 253-nucleotide ribosomal RNA is filed under the name uncultured bacterium. Its description in RNAcentral is "partial 16S ribosomal RNA". It matches the Rfam family "Bacterial small subunit ribosomal RNA", at positions 524 to 776 of the family's 1533-position model. The record is from RNAcentral.
UACAGAGGGUGCGAGCGUUAAUCGGAAUUACUGGGCGUAAAGCGCACGUAGGUGGCGACGUAAGUCGGGUGUGAAAGCCCCGGGCUCAACCUGGGAACUGCAUUCGAGACUGCAUUGCUGGAGUACGGAAGAGGAAGGCGGAAUUCCCGGUGUAGCGGUGAAAUGCGUAGAUAUCGGGAGGAACAUCAGUGGCGAAGGCGGCCUUCUGGUCCAGUACUAACACUCAAGUGCGAAAGCGUGGGGAGCAAACAGG